UAGGGAAUCUUCCACAAUGGACGCAAGUCUGAUGGAGCAACGCCGCGUGAGUGAAGAAGGCUUUCGGGUCGUAAAACUCUGUUAUUGAAGAAGAACGUGCGUGACAGUAACUGGUCAUGCAGUGACGGUAUUCAAUCAGAAAGUCACGGCUAACUACGUGCCAGCAGCCGCGGUAAUACGUAGGUGGCAAGCGUUGUCCGGAUUUAUUGGGCGUAAAGCGAGUGCAGGCGGUCUUUUAAGUCUGAUGUGAAAACCUUCGGCUUAACCGAAGAAGGGCAUCGGAAACUGGGAGACUUGAGUGCAGAAGAGGAGAGUGGAACUCCAUGUGUAGCGGUGAAAUGCGUAGAUAUAUGGAAGAACACCAGUGGCGAAGGCGGCUCUCUGGUCUGUAACUGACGCUGAGGCUCGAAAGCGUGGGUAGCAAACAGGAUUAGAUACCCUGGUA
This 445-nucleotide ribosomal RNA is filed under the name uncultured bacterium. RNAcentral describes it as "partial 16S ribosomal RNA". It matches the Rfam family "Bacterial small subunit ribosomal RNA", at positions 355 to 792 of the family's 1533-position model. The record is from RNAcentral.